This 1282-nucleotide long non-coding RNA is filed under the name Chrysemys picta bellii (western painted turtle). RNAcentral describes it as "lncRNA (ENSCPBG00000008733.1)". Lineage: Eukaryota; Metazoa; Chordata; Testudines; Emydidae. The record is from RNAcentral.
CUGGAAAAGUUCCAUGAGAAUGUUUGAAAGAAAACCUUCCCCACCAAAAAAAAUGUUUCUUUUUGAUACUUUUGCAGAAAAUAUGAAGUCACGAGCACAAGCCGCAAUUCACAAAAACCCCAAACCCAUUCAUUCUAUUCAUUAUUUUGGAAAUGGAAAGGUCCAAAAUCUCUUUCCCUGGACAGAAGGAUGCGUUCUCCUUUUCACCCAUCGACUACAACCCAUUGAAUUUGAUUGCUUUGGCCACUCUCACUCUUUGUUGCUGGCUCCUUGCCUAGCUUCUGGAAUACACAGCCCUGCUUGUAUAUGUGCCAAGUUCACUGUCACAGACCAGUGGAACUCACCAGUAUCGUCCACACAAUGUGAAAGUCUGUAUCCUCUGCUAGGUAAGUGGUGCCUGAAGAGGGCCUAAUAUGGAAAGAGAGGACCACAAAAUCAAAGUGAGAGUUAAAGGAGCUCGGUUUUAUCAAAUGGGUAUUAAAAGCCAACAAACAUGGUAAAUACCUUAUUUCUCCCCCUGCUCCUCCCCCCAAAAAAACCUAAAAGGAAAAGAUUUCACAUGAAGAAAAAGAGACCAACAAAAAUCUAAUGCUUCCCAAAAUUAUUGUUAUAGGAAGUUUAUAUUGAGAUGUGUCAGGACUCCCCCCACUUACCAUGCCUCGCUCCGGAUUUUUAAAAAAACAGCCAGUGGACACCCAAUGUGUGAGUGUCAGCUGCUCUCAGCCUGUUGACACCUGCUUCAGGCACUAUUGGUUCAAGCUGUCCACAGAUAUGUAAACUGACCCGGUUUUCUUAAUAGAGUUGAUUCUGACACCUAGAGUCAUCACUGCUAUUUCAUUAAUGAUCAUAUUUACAGAAUCAUCCAGCUAGUCUGUUUAUCCAUCACUUUGUGAAGAAAUGAGUAGUGGGGCAUGAGCAGCUGGGUACCUGCAAGGACUGAUGGAGAUAAAGGAGGAGUUCAAAAUUUAAAGGAACCUCUGCCCCUCACCUCUAGGGGGGAAGAAUGGUCACAACCUCCUGACAUCUGUUUGUGACACUCCCAGAUGUCAUGACCCUCCAGGCUGAAGACCCCUGUUCUAGAGGGGAAGCAAGUUUUAUUUAGAGAUGAAAUGUUGCUUUAUAUGAUGGUCAGUUUUGAAUGUGUGAAAGGGACAAUCACAAUAGCUUAUUUUCUAGAAUACAUACAGUUGCAUGAGAAAAAGUAGGUUUCUCCAGGAAUAAUCGUCACUGUUAUUACUAUUGCUACUGCAGUGGAGCUGGGAAUCAGGGACCUACUAUUUAA